RNAcentral lists this ribosomal RNA (229 nucleotides) under uncultured bacterium. Its description in RNAcentral is "partial 16S ribosomal RNA". It matches the Rfam family "Bacterial small subunit ribosomal RNA", at positions 568 to 796 of the family's 1533-position model. The record is from RNAcentral.
UCCGUAGGUGGAUAAUUAAGUCAGAGGUGAAAUCCUGCAGCUCAACUGUAGAAUUGCCUUUGAAACUGGUUAUCUUGUGUUAUUAUGAAGUAGUUAGAAUAUGUAGUGUAGCGGUGAAAUGCAUAGAUAUUACAUAGAAUACCAAUUGCGAAGGCAGAUUACUAAUAAUAUACUGACACUGAUGGACGAAAGCGUGGGGAGCGAACAGGAUUAGAUACCCUGGUAGUCC